AUUAAGUACCUUUUCAUUUUUAAAAAUAAAAAAAUAUGUUAAUUACUUGUGAACGUUCCUCGUUACGUCGAAUGAGACGCGAAGCGUAAACGUCUAGUUAACACGCGCGCGUGAACCUCGCGAGUCUAAGGUAGCAACCUUGAAACUGGGCACCACCUCCACCACCUUCAUCACUUCCAUCAUACCACUAUCUCUCGUACGACGAGCAAACGGUCGACAGCCGGUAGCAGCGCGUCGGAAGAAACAGCGACGGGUUCAGCGAGCGACGGUGCGGCAGCAACGAAUAGUAGAAUAAGAGGAAGGGCGAGCGCCGGGAGGGUAGGAGAGACAGGGGAUUACGGUGUUGGCGGAACGAAAGAAAGAAGAAUUCCUCCCGACGCGCGCGGGCUACACGCGCCCUUUCCUUUUCCCGCGGCUCUCCCUCUCCUCCUUCUCACCCUCCCUUUCCGCGUCCGGCUUUCAGCUGUGUGCUGCUCUCGCUCGGGGAGCAAACCGGAUUCGCAAUAAAACGAAUCCAUCUCGAAAUGCGCGGGACCAAUGAGAGGAUCUAACAUACAACGUUCAAACUGGAUCUCAGUCUUUCCAUUUCUCGCACCGUGUUCUCUUUCUCUUUCCUCUUCCCGCCCGCACCGUCCGACAUCCGAGUUAUCUCUUAACGUCUCACGUUACUCCUCCCUUCGUCUUUCCUGAAAGACUUGCCCUUCCUUUCGCUCGUUGACCCGAGUGAAAGGGAAGGUUGAAAGUAGGGAUGACUAAACCUAGUCGAGUUGUGAGAGAGGUGUAAGUACGAUAGUUGCCCGAUCGUUUGCCCGAGCAAGAAGAAACACAGAAGACGUAAAGAAAAGAUUCAAGAAGAUGACCAACACAAAGACGAGAUGCAAAUAUAAUAAGAAGUACAACAAUAUUGCAAGCCAAUGUAAAAGAGGAAAGGUAAAUCGAGAUCGAUGAACUGACAUUAAAAAGAGGUUUAAAGCAUCAUAAUAAUGAAGUAGAAAAAAAAUGGACAAGGGAAAGAAAAUGUGGAGCCAGGACGUAGGAGGAGCAACACUUUACCAAUGAAUUGGAAGGAAAAAGGUAUAUAGAAACAGGAAAAGAAACGAGGGCGGAGUAAAAAUCGAACGCACGAUAUGGACCUACCUACUGAUGGACUGAAAAAA
Pogonomyrmex barbatus (red harvester ant) is the source of this 1157-nucleotide long non-coding RNA. Lineage: Eukaryota; Metazoa; Arthropoda; Insecta; Hymenoptera; Formicidae. The record is from RefSeq and is a predicted model, not a curated record.